This 468-nucleotide ribosomal RNA is filed under the name uncultured bacterium. RNAcentral's name for it is "partial 16S ribosomal RNA". It matches the Rfam family "Bacterial small subunit ribosomal RNA", at positions 28 to 507 of the family's 1533-position model. The record is from RNAcentral.
GACGAACGCUGGCGGCGUGCUUAACACAUGCAAGUCGAACGGAAAGGCCCUGCUUUUGUGGGGUGCUCGAGUGGCGAACGGGUGAGUAACACGUGAGUAACCUGCCCUUGACUUUGGGGUAACUUCAGGAAACUGGGGCUAAUAUCGGAUAGGAGCUCAUGCUGCAUGGUGGGGGUUGGAAAGUUUCGGCGGUUGGGGAUGGACUCGCGGCUUACCAGCUUGCUGGUGGGGUAGUGGCUUACCAAGCAUUUGACGGGUAGCCGGCCUGUGAGGGUGACCGGCCACAUUGGGACUGAGGUACGGCCCAGACUCCUACGGGAGGCAGCAGUGGGGAAUAUUGCACAAUGGGCGGAAGCCUGAUGCAGCAACGCCGCGUGCGGGAUGACGGCCUUCGGGUUGUAAACCGCUUUCGCCUGUGACGAAGCUUGAGUGACGGUAAUGGGUAAAGAAGCACCGGCUAACUACGUG